Molecule: ribosomal RNA, 497 nt
Filed under: uncultured bacterium
Lineage: Bacteria
Description: partial 16S ribosomal RNA
Rfam family: Bacterial small subunit ribosomal RNA
Source: RNAcentral
GAUGAACGCUGGCGGCGUGCCUAAUACAUGCAAGUCGAGCGAACGGACGAGAAGCUUGCUUCUCUGAUGCUAGCGGCGGACGGGUGAGUAACACGUGGAUAACCUACCUAUAAGACUGGGAUAACUUCGGGAAACCGUAGCUAAUACCGGAUAAUAUUUUGAACCGCAUGGUUCAAAAGUGAAAGACGGUCUUGCUGUCACUUAUAGAUGGAUCGGCGCUGCAUUAGCUAGUUGGUAAGGUAACGGCUUACCAAGGCAACGAUGCAUAGCCGACCUGAGAGGGGGAUCGGCCACACGGGAACUGAGACACGGUCCAGACUCCUACGGGAGGCAGCAGUAGGGAAUCUUCCGCAAUGGGCGAAAGCCUGACGGAGCAACGCCGCGUGAGUGAUGAAGGUCUUCGGAUCGUAAAACUCUGUUAUUAGGGAAGAACAUAUGUGUAAGUAACUGUGCACAUCUUGACGGUACCUAAUCAGAAAGCCACGGCUAACUACGUG